UAGGGAAUCUUCGGCAAUGGACGAAAGUCUGACCGAGCAACGCCGCGUGAGUGAAGAAGGUUUUCGGAUCGUAAAACUCUGUUGUUAGAGAAGAACAAGGACGUUAGUAACUGAACGUCCCCUGACGGUAUCUAACCAGAAAGCCACGGCUAACUACGUGCCAGCAGCCGCGGUAAUACGUAGGUGGCAAGCGUUGUCCGGAUUUAUUGGGCGUAAAGCGAGCGCAGGCGGUUUCUUAAGUCUGAUGUGAAAGCCCCCGGCUCAACCGGGGAGGGUCAUUGGAAACUGGGAGACUUGAGUGCAGAAGAGGAGAGUGGAAUUCCAUGUGUAGCGGUGAAAUGCGUAGGUAUAUGGGGGAACACCAGUGGCGAAGGCGGCUCUCUGGUCUGUAACUGACGCUGAGGCUCGAAAGCGUGGGGAGCAAACAGG
This 429-nucleotide ribosomal RNA is filed under the name Chloroflexota bacterium. RNAcentral describes it as "Chloroflexi bacterium partial 16S ribosomal RNA". It matches the Rfam family "Bacterial small subunit ribosomal RNA", at positions 355 to 776 of the family's 1533-position model. Lineage: Bacteria; Bacillati; Chloroflexota. The record is from RNAcentral.